AUCAGAUUCUUGGAUUCGCCUUGAAAAUGAUUUUGAAAAUCAUGGUCAGGCAUGAGGCGGACUGGACUGUGCGUUGUGUGGUCAGAGAUUGAAUCCUCAGCCUCAAGGCAGGUACCGUGCAUCUCCGCCCUGCCGCCGAGAGAGAAGCAGGCCUGCAGGAGCUUGGGGACUUACCUGGACCCACUCAGAUGUGGUUCUGCAGGCUUCCUACACCCAAACAGUGGGCUGCCUUACCUCCCAAAGUGGCAGGUGUUUCCAGAGGAAUGUUUACUGAUCACAUCAGGCCAUGUGCUCAUUAUCAAAGUCAGGUCUCUUCACUGAAGAAUCAGCCGUCUCCAUAACAGUGUGCUUGUAAUGCUUACAAAAAUAGUUACACAGUUGAGAGAAAUAAUAAUUCCCUCUAGGCCUCACUGCCGCUUUAUCAUUUUGACAGCCUCUGAUUAUUUUCCUGUUAUUGAUUCAGUGGAUAAAGGUUUCCGUUUAGGAGCUUAAGUGCAGCCUUGUGAAUCUUAGUACCUGCCACAUGAUUUACAUAGUUCAGAAGCAGACAUCCCCCUAUAAGGCCUCCUGUUUCAAGAAGCCUCUCUAGAGGUCAGAAGAGCCCACAGCCAAGUUUUAUGGCACAGCACAGGGUGGUAGGAUGGCUCUAAAUACGGCUUCCGAGAGGGUCGAGUGCUCAGCUGGCACAGAGAUGUGGUUCCUGCAGACCCACCAGGGAGGACAGCCAGGGAUCGCAUGGUUUUGUAAAUUAAAAUGCCCAAGCUCAGAGGCCUGCAAGGACUUAGCUUAAAGCAACAGGCAGGCCAGGUGCGGUGGCUCACAACUAUAAUCCCAGCACUUUGGAAGGCUGAGGUGGGCAGAUCACAAGGUCAGGAGUUCGAGACCAGCCUGGCCAAUAUGGUGAAACCCCAUCUCUACUAAAAAUACAAAUAUUAGCCAGGCAUGGUGGCAGGCACCUGUAGUCCCAGCUACCUGGGAGGCUGAGGCAGGAGAAUGGCUUGAACCCAGGAGGUGGAGGUUGCAGUGAGCCGAGAUCAAGCCACUGCACUCCAGCCUGGGCGACAGAGCAAGACUGCGUCUCAAAUAAAUAAGGCAACAGGGAGAGUCUGGAUGCAGUGGCUCAUGCCUGUAAUCCCAGCACUUUAGGAGGCCAAGGCAGGCAGAUCACAAGGUCAGGAGUUCAAGACCAACCUGGCCAACAUAGUGAAACCAUGUCUCCAUUAAAAAUAUAAAAAUUAGCCAGGCAUGAUGGCCCAUGCCUGUAAUCCCAGCUACUUGAGAGGCUGAGGCACAAGAAUCACUUGAACCUGGGAGGCGGAGGUUGCAGUGAGCCAAGAUUGUGCUGCUGCACUCCAACCUAGGGGGCAAAGCAAGACUCUCAAAAAAACAAAAAACAAAAAAACAGGGAGAGUUUUCCUGUUGAUAGUCACCUGGGCUGUUUCCUGUUUGGAGCUUUAUGAAUAAGGCUUCUGUGAACAUUCUUGUGCAAGUCUUUUUAUAGGCAUAGGUUUUUAUUUCAUUUGGAUGAAUAUCUAAAGGCAGAAUGGCUGGGUCAUAUGGCAUGUGAAUGUUUAACUUUAUAAGAACCUACUGGGCUCGGCGCGGUGGCUCACGCCUGUAAUCCCAGCACUUUGGGAGGCCGAGGCAGGCAGAUCACGAGUGUCAGGCCUCUGAGCCCAAGCCAAGCCAUCUCAUCCCCUGUGACUUGCACGUAUACAUCCAGAUGGCCUGAAGUAACUGAAGAUCCACAAAAGAAGUAAAAAUAGCCUUAACUGAUGACAUUCCACCAUUGUGAUUUGUUUCUGCCCCACCCUCACUGAUCAAUGUACUUUGUAAUCUCCACCACCCUUAAGAAGAUUCUUUAUAAUUUCCCCCACCCUUAAGAAGGUUCUUUGUAAUUCUCCCAACCCUUGAGAAUGUACUUUGUGAGAUCCACCCCUGCCCGCAAAACAUUGCUCUUAACUUCACCGCCUAUCCCAAAACCUAUAAGAACUAAUGAUAAUCCACCACCCUUUGCUGACUCUCUUUUCGGACUCGGCCCGCCUGCACCCAGGUGAAAUAAACAGCCAUGUUGCUCACACAAAGCCUGUUUGGUGGUCUCUUCACAGGGACGUGCAUGAAAACGAGGUAAAGAGAUCAAGACCAUCCUGGUCAACAUGGUGAAGCCCUGUCUCUACUAAAAAUACAAAAAUUAGCUGGGUGUGGUGACGUGUGCCUGUAGCCCCAGCUACUCAGCAGGCUGAGGCAGGAUAAUCGCCUGAACCCGGGAGGCGGAGGUUGC
RNAcentral lists this long non-coding RNA (2281 nucleotides) under Pan troglodytes (chimpanzee). Its description in RNAcentral is "long non-coding RNA NONPTRT008899". Lineage: Eukaryota; Metazoa; Chordata; Mammalia; Primates; Hominidae. The record is from RNAcentral.